AUUGAACGCUGGCGGCAGGCUUAACACAUGCAAGUCGAGCGGUAACAGGAGAAGCUUGCUUCUUGCUGACGAGCGGCGGACGGGUGAGUAAUACUUAGGAAUCUGCCCAGUAGUGGGGGAUAGCUCGGGGAAACUCGAAUUAAUACCGCAUACACCCUACGGGGAAAAGGGGGCGCCUGCGCUCUCGCUAUUGGAUGAGCCUAAGUCGGAUUAGCUAGUUGGUGGGGUAAAGGCCUACCAAGGCGACGAUCUGUAGCUGGUCUGAGAGGAUGAUCAGCCACACCGGGACUGAGGCACGGCCCGGACUCCUACGGGAGGCAGCAGUGGGGAAUAUUGGACAAUGGGGGCAACCCUGAUCCAGCCAUGCCGCGUGUGUGAAGAAGGCCUUUUGGUUGUAAAGCACUUUAAGCAGUGAAGAAGACUCUAUGGUUAAUACCCAUAGACGAUGACAUUAGCUGCAGAAUAAGCACCGGCUAACUCUGUGCCAGCAGCCGCGGUAAUACAGAGGGUGCAAGCGUUAAUCGGAAUUACUGGGCGUAAAGCGAGCGUAGGUGGCUUGAUAAGUCAGAUGUGAAAUCCCCGGGCUUAACCUGGGAACUGCAUCUGAUACUGUUAGGCUAGAGUAGGUGAGAGGGAGGUAGAAUUUCAGGUGUAGCGGUGAAAUGCGUAGAGAUCUGAAGGAAUACCGAUGGCGAAGGCAGCCUCCUGGCAUCAUACUGACACUGAGGUUCGAAAGCGUGGGUAGCAAACAGGAUUAGAUACCCUGGUAGUCCACGCCGUAAACGAUGUCUACUGGUCGUUGGGGAACUUGAUUCCUUAGUGACGCAGCUAACGCAAUAAGUAGACCGCCUGGGGAGUACGGCCGCAAGGUUAAAACUCAAAUGAAUUGACGGGGGCCCGCACAAGCGGUGGAGCACGUGGUUUAAUUCGAUGCAACGCGAAGAACCUUACCUGGUCUUGACAUAUCUAGAAUCCUGCAGAGAUGCGGGAGUGCCUUCGGGAAUUAGAAUACAGGUGCUGCAUGGCUGUCGUCAGCUCGUGUCGUGAGAUGUUGGGUUAAGUCCCGCAACGAGCGCAACCCUUUUCCUUAGUUACCAGCGGUUUGGCCGGGGACUCUAAGGAUACUGCCAGUGACAAACUGGAGGAAGGCGGGGACGACGUCAAGUCAUCAUGGCCCUUACGACCAGGGCUACACACGUGCUACAAUGGUAGGUACAGAGGGCAGCUACACAGCGAUGUGAUGCGAAUCUCAAAAAGCCUAUCGUAGUCCAGAUUGGAGUCUGCAACUCGACUCCAUGAAGUCGGAAUCGCUAGUAAUCGCGGAUCAGAAUGCCGCGGUGAAUACGUUCCCGGGCCU
This 1357-nucleotide ribosomal RNA is filed under the name uncultured bacterium. Its description in RNAcentral is "bacterial SSU rRNA". It matches the Rfam family "Bacterial small subunit ribosomal RNA", at positions 28 to 1381 of the family's 1533-position model. The record is from RNAcentral.